RNAcentral lists this long non-coding RNA (984 nucleotides) under Oncorhynchus kisutch (coho salmon). RNAcentral's name for it is "lncRNA (ENSOKIG00005037743.1)". The record is from RNAcentral. Lineage: Eukaryota; Metazoa; Chordata; Actinopteri; Salmoniformes; Salmonidae.
UUGCCAUUUUUUUCUGUUCUUCUUGACAACACAAGCGCGGUUGGGGAAUUUAUUAUGAGGGGGGAAGCAAGUGGAAACUCCCAAAACAGUCUGAGCAUACCCGCCAGCAUUAGGGACUUUUAUUUCAGAAAUUUUGCUACCGCAGCCUAUAAAAAUUACCGACAACCGAUUGCACAGCCCAUUUCCCAGUCGAAAAGAUACACACAGAGUGGUACAAUGUUGUAAUGUAGCCUAUAUCGUUCUGUCAAAUUAACAAUUAUGUUACAAUGUAACGAAAAAUGCGAGAUUUUACCUGAAAGGAGCUUACAACUUCAGUUACAUGCUCUUAGCAAAUCUAUGUCAUGCUGUGCAGUGGAAAGGCUGUGCGUGUACUUGUUGAGCUCCAGGACCAUCACAGAGUAUGAGAGCCAGGUGAUCUGGUCCCAGAGAACAGACAUGGAGAAGGCUGCCAAACUGCUCCAGGUGGUGCUGAAGAAGGGUCGCAACGCCUGUCUUCUCUUUUUCGACUCACUAGAAAAGUGUUGCCAGUGCCCACCACAGUUCGAAAGAGUUACCGGUCUCCCAGAGAGGAGGAGGACCAACACUGCCCCAACUUACGUCAUCAACAUCAGCCAUUCCAAUUUGAGUAACUGCAUCAUUGGAGAUGGCAACUUUCAAGGAGUGACAACGUGUAUACAACAACCUCAGAGCAUGGGUUCAGAGGAUGCUAGGCAUGAGACAAUGGGAGGCAACAUCACCAGUGAUCACCAGAGAGCAGUACAGGCCUGUCUAGAUCCAGAGCUCCAGAGGAGUGUCCAGGUCUAUGGGUCCCAACUGCAGUAUGUCAUCAUCGGGGACAACAACAACCUGCAAGCUGAAGACACACCGGAAGAGGAAGAAGGGGAAGAAGAAAAACUCAUUAAUGAAAAUGCCAUCUCCUGCUGUUGUGCGCUUGAGCAAGUUACUGCACCACAGGCGACCGUGGCUCUCAAUCUCCAUGAGUGA